UUUGGGGCUUAUAAAAAUUAUUAGAGUUAGUUAGGCGUGAAAUAUAAAUUAGUUACCGAUAAUAAAAGGUGAAAUUAGGUUGUUAUUAAGUAAAAUAAAUAUAUUGAGGCUGAAGCUAGAAAAGUCUAAAUAAAAACUAGGAUUAGAUACCCUAUUAUUUUAGAAUUAAAUGUAAUAUAACUCUAGGUAAGUAGUAGAUAAGUACUUAAAAAUUAAAAAAUUUGGCGGUGAUUUAAUCUUUUUAGAGGAACUUGUUUUUUAAUCGAUAAACCACGUUCAAUCUUACUUGUUUUAGUAGAUCAGUAUGUAUACCAUCAUUAGCAGGUAAUUUUAAAAGGAAAAAUUACUAAAAAUAAUUAAUUACAUAAAUUAGAUCAUGGUGCAGCUUAUAAACAAGGUAAAAUGAGUUACAAUAAAGUAUUUUAGAUGAAUUGAUAAGGGAAUCCUUAUUAUAAAGGUGGAUUUAAUUGUAAAUGUGGAUUAAUAAGCUUAUUUGAUAUUGGUGCUAAAUCAUGUACAUAUCGCCCGUCGCUUUCGCUAACCGAAAUAAGUCGUAACAUA
Molecule: ribosomal RNA, 561 nt
Filed under: Metopograpsus thukuhar
Lineage: Eukaryota; Metazoa; Arthropoda; Malacostraca; Decapoda; Grapsidae
Description: partial 12S ribosomal RNA
Source: RNAcentral